Molecule: ribosomal RNA, 1541 nt
Filed under: Blattabacterium sp. (Cryptocercus punctulatus) str. Cpu
Lineage: Bacteria; Pseudomonadati; Bacteroidota; Flavobacteriia; Flavobacteriales; Blattabacteriaceae
Description: 16S ribosomal RNA
Rfam family: Bacterial small subunit ribosomal RNA
Source: RNAcentral
UUACAACGAAGAGUUUGAUCCUGGCUCAGGAUGAACGCUAGCGGCGGGCUUAACACAUGCAAGUCGAGGGGCAGCAUGAAAUUUAUUUAUUUAGAUUUUGAUGGCGACCGGCGGACGGGUGCGUAACACGUAUGUAACCUACCUUUUUCUAGAAAAUAGCCUGAGGAAACUCGGAUUAAUAUUCUAUAAUACAGUAUUUUCGCAUGAAAAUAUUAUUAAAGCAGAAAUGCGGGAAAAGAUGGGCAUGCGCCCGAUUAGUUAGUUGGUGGGGUAAAGGCCUACCAAGACGAUGAUCGGUAGGGGGCCUGAGAGGGUGAUCCCCCACACUGGUACUGAGAUACGGACCAGACUCCUACGGGAGGCAGCAGUGAGGAAUAUUGGUCAAUGGAGGAAACUCUGAACCAGCCACGCCGCGUGCAGGAAGAAUGCCUUAUGGGUUGUAAACUGCUUUUGUUUAGGAAUAAAAAUUUCUACGUGAUAGAAAUUGUGAAGGUACUAAACGAAUAAGUGUCGGCAAACUCCGUGCCAGCAGCCGCGGUAAUACGGAGGACACAAGCGUUAUCCGGAUUUAUUGGGUUUAAAGAGUGCGUAGGCGGUUUAUUAAGUCAGUAGUGAAAUGUUACAGCUUAACUGUUAAAAUGGCUAAUGAUACUGAUAGACUUGAGUGAGAUUGGAGUAAUUGGAAUGUGUGGUGUAGCGGUGAAAUGCAUAGAGAUCACACAGAACACCGAUCGCGAAAGCAGGUUACUAAAUCUAUACUGACGCUGAGGCACGAAAGCGUGGGGAGCAAACAGGAUUAGAUACCCUGGUAGUCCACGCCGUAAACGAUGAUCACUAGUCGUUGGAUUUUAUUAUUCAGUGGCUAAGCGAAAGUGAUAAGUGAUCCACCUGGGGAGUACGAUCGCAAGGUUGAAACUCAAAGGAAUUGACGGGGGCCCGCACAAGCGGUGGAGCAUGUGGUUUAAUUCGAUGAUACGCGAGGAACCUUACCAAGGUUUAAAUGUACUACGAAUAAGCUAGAAAUAGUUUAGUCUUCGGACGGAGUACAAGAUGCUGCAUGGUUGUCGUCAGCUCGUGCCGUGAGGUGUUGGGUUAAGUCCCUCAACGAGCGCAACCCUCAUUGUUAGUUGCCAACGAAUAAUGUCGGGGACUCUAGCAAGACUGCCGACGUAAGUCGAGAGGAAGGUGGGGACGACGUCAAAUCAUCACCGGCUCUUAUACCUUGGGCUACACACGUGCUACAAUGGUCGGUACAAAGGGUUGCUAUUGAGUAAUCAUAAGCUAAUCUCUAAAAACCGAUCUCAGUUCGGAUUGGAGUCUGCAACUCGACUCUAUGAAGUUGGAAUCGCUAGUAAUCGCAUAUCAGCCAUGAUGCGGUGAAUACGUUCCCGGGCCUUGUACACACCGCCCGUCAAGCCAUGGAAGUCGGGGGGACCUGAAAUUGGUGACCAUAAAAGGAACUGCUUAAGGUAAAAUCGAUAACUGGGGCUAAGUCGUAACAAGGUAGCCGUACCGGAAGGUGUGGCUGGAACAUCUCUUUU